This 71-nucleotide transfer RNA is filed under the name bovine gut metagenome. It matches the Rfam family "tRNA". From Rfam's summary of the family: Transfer RNA (tRNA) molecules are approximately 80 nucleotides in length. The record is from RNAcentral.
GAGGCAUAGCUCAGUUGGUAGAGCAAAUGACUUUUAAUCAUUGGGUCCAGGGUUCGAAUCCCUGUGCCUCC